This 29-nucleotide non-coding RNA is filed under the name Rattus norvegicus (Norway rat). The record is from RNAcentral. Lineage: Eukaryota; Metazoa; Chordata; Mammalia; Rodentia; Muridae.
UCCAAAGUGUUCCCCAUUAAUGCCCUGGA